GGAUGUAUUUGCUGUAUUAUUUCCUUCCACUCACGAUCUUCAGAGUUGUCUCUCACAACUCUAACAGACAUGGUUACGAUCUUUGGACACAAAGAUCAAAGACAUCUCUCCAACCUGGAGCUCUUGGAGCAGAAGGUUGACUACCUUCUGCCACAAGCAGACCUGUGGCCCAACUUUGCUCUGGAGUCUCAAGGCGAGCCAUUACAAAUAAGAUCAUCAACUAGAUUUCAAAUUUUCAGUAUUAAAAUUUUCUAACUCACAUUAUUUCUGUUUUUGUGUUUUGUGUACAGGAGCAAAUAUUUUACACAAGAUGACCUCAGAGGCUUAUGACAUCAAUAAAGAAGUUGGAAGGUUUGGGAAAUUGUUCAAGAGACCUCCUAUUGGCCCAGGCAUUGUUAUUAAGGUUUGAAUGAUGAUCAGAUCAUUAAAAAAAUAAAAGUGGUGUUUCUUGGUGAUAUAUUAUUAGGCUUUAUGAUUUACUUUUCUCUUAGUCUUGGUACCCCACUUAAAUUUUGUUCUCUGUUUUCAGGGAAAAAAUCGUCUGCAACCUGGAAAAUGCUGGGCCUUUCCAGGUUUCCAGGGACGUUUGGGCGUCUCACUUUCACACCCAGCCACCAUCAGACAUGUGUCCCUGGGUCACAUUGCUAAGACUGUGUCCCCAACGUCCUCUGUCUCUAGUGCUCCCAAAGAAUUUUCUGUAUAUGGAGCAAAGAAUUUAGAAGAUGAGGAAACUCAUUUGGGAACUUUCCAAUACGAUGAAGAUGGAGACCAAAUACAGACCUUCAAACUUCCUGCCGAUAAAGUUGGUUCCUUCCGUCAUGUGACUCUAAAGGUGAACAGCAACUGGGGUCAUCCGGACUACACCUGCCUCUAUAACUUUAGAGUGCAUGGAGAACUUGC
Long non-coding RNA from Poeciliopsis prolifica (blackstripe livebearer), 900 nucleotides. RefSeq lists it as uncharacterized. The record is from RefSeq and is a predicted model, not a curated record. Lineage: Eukaryota; Metazoa; Chordata; Actinopteri; Cyprinodontiformes; Poeciliidae. The transcript has 4 exons.